Molecule: long non-coding RNA, 827 nt
Filed under: Sorghum bicolor (sorghum)
Lineage: Eukaryota; Viridiplantae; Streptophyta; Magnoliopsida; Poales; Poaceae
Description: long non-coding RNA (SBIC_LNC009956)
Source: RNAcentral
CUUGGGAAAAGGGGUACGAAGGUAUGACCGAGUGAAAGAUCCUUGUUUGGUUUUUGUAAUUGAGUGACAACUUAGGUGGACUAAUGAUGUUUAUGUGAGAUACACAGGAGAUUAGUCCAUAGGUGAAUAUGUGAUGAUGGAAGAGCUCAUUGUAUAUGAGACAUGACAUGGGGUCAUGUGACUAAGGUGGAGAAGAUCAAGAUGAGGCUUGGCUCGAUGGACCGGUUGCAAGAGUGAAGGGAAAGUCGAAGGCUUUGAAGCGAGGGACCGCAUGUGACGCUGAAGCUUGAGCAACGCUUAGCGCCGAUGGACCGACACAACAUUGAAGAGCAAGUGAGGUCAAGAUCGAUGAACCAAUAUGGUCACGUGAUGAUAUGAAGUGGAUCAUAUCAUUUGUAAUUGAUUGGUGCAUGUGUUGCAUCAACAUCGAAGGAAAUGGGAUGGAAUGUGCAAGGCAAAGGUAUAACCUAUAGGGCAUUUCAUUUCACCGGUCUAAGUUGAGUAGAGAAGUGUUUGACCGGAUUUAGGAUAGAUAACCGUUAUACAUGGGGUGGUUCGGUUCGACCCACAGUUUCAUCGACCCGACCUCAAAAAAUGACCCAAAUGGACCCCAUUUCUCAUCCAUAGCGUCAGAUAGAGUCAAUGGCUCGGAAGCAUUCGAACCCUUGGGUCGAGUGGUUCGACCCACUCUGCACAGUUCCGUACGUGCAACGCCGGCAUCCUUUGAACUUACACAAGAGAAGAACGAGAGAAUAGACAGCACGACAAGAAGAGAAAAACAAGUGCACAGGGGGGUCGAACUGCUUCUUGCCAGAGCCAGGGCCUAG